This is a long non-coding RNA of Syngnathus acus (greater pipefish), 1879 nucleotides long. RefSeq lists it as uncharacterized. Lineage: Eukaryota; Metazoa; Chordata; Actinopteri; Syngnathiformes; Syngnathidae. The transcript has 2 exons. The record is from RefSeq and is a predicted model, not a curated record.
GAGGAUGCUCUUGAUCCGUUCCACCUUCCGAUGUCGGUCCUCCAUCUCUUGAGGACUCAGAGGCUCCUCUGGCUCUAAAUCCACGUAUCGCUCUGGAAUCAACACUUUCUGAGGCCGUCGAGGGUCUGAGGAGUCUCUGUCGCAGAGCUGAAGCUCAGCCAAUCGUCGGAAUGCGAUCGGGGUCUCUCUUUGUGUUCAGGGGGCCUCUCCUCCCCCUGAACGCUUCGCACAGCUUGAGCCUCCUCGCCCUGGACGGCCCUUUCCAGCAGCUGCAGGUCAAACUCCUGCUCUCUCCUCCACUGCACGAAAUGUACACACACAAAAACACACAUAUGACACCGACACACCAGGACAACUUGUUUCAAGCAGAUUGUCGAGAUUAUGGAAAGGCAUGUGAGCAAUGAUUUCACAUAUACAUUAUAUCCAUCUUAAAUCCAUGUGCUAAUACACUGCAUCCUUAAAGCUGCUGGGUUAAAAACAACACAUAAAAAAGGCAAGUACGGUAUGUUAUUGUACUUGUGCAAUGAGUUUGGGACAGUCUAAAAUGGUUAAUGUUAGUGUAAUUAAAAAAAAAAACAAUGUUGCUUAAUGUCAGAAAACAUUUUCCUCAUUUAAGCUAGUGGGCAACUAUGGAGAGGAACGCGUUAAUAAUAAAAACAUCCAAAAUAAUAAAUUCAGAAAUUGAUGUUGGUAUAGGACAGGAAGCUGACGUUAUUAUAGACGUUCCCCUGAAUCCUUACUGGUGAGGACAAAGAGCCUACUAGUACAUUGAUCUAAAAAAGAAAAGCAAAACAUACAUUCUACCACUGUCGUCGUUUGUCUAGUGCACAAUUAUUUUGUUAGUGAGGCCAAAGUGCUUCCUUUUACAUGAACCUUAAGCUGUCAAACACACAAAAGGCUUUUUCACAGGGGACUACAACAUUUGUGUUUUUUUGCCUGGAAUGAAAUUGCUUGUCUUUACACCACUGAAAAGUGGAAAGGUUGUGUGUGGUUAAGAACCUGGGGGGGGGCGUGAAACAGUGGGAGAAAAAAUACAGUAGCAUGCACACUAACAUACAUAAUAAACAACAUGCUACUAAUGAGCUACACACAAGGCCAGUAAAGUGAAACAAACAUAACACACUCAGAUGAAGACACUUUCACCAAACAUACCUAAAAAUGAAAGAAAAAGAAAACAAGAGCAUUCCAUACAUGUUUAUUCAUAUGAGAACUUGAAAGGAACUUGAAAGAAAACACUGACAAAACGCUACCAAUGUUUUAUUUCCAGUUAUUUUGUAUACAAGACACUUUUUAGGUACACUUGCACAGGCUAGUAAGAGCCAAUACAAAGCUGCAUUAUCAUAUAAAGGCAUGCAUUUUGGAUGCAACUCUUGUAUUGGAUCUCAUGAUGUAUUGUAGCCAGUGACUGUGCGUAUUGCUGCUAAAUAAACUCGUAACUAUUCAUCUUUAAAAAAAAACGAGAUCCAGAAUGAUGACCUUUAUCAUAGUAAAAAUCAAGUAAAAUUGUUAUGAUGAAUUUGGAUGAAAAGUACUCUUACUCUCACACACAAACACGCACGCACGCGUUCAACCACACACACAACAUCUAGAUGAUAAGACUAUGAAAGCAUCCAUGUUAGGAUUUAUUUUCUAUCGGCAGCAAAAAUUUGUGGCAGUCUGGUUAUUGAUUAAAACAUGCAAAACAAGAUUCCAAUUUUCAAACUAUUUGUGUCCAUGGAGGAUGUGUUUUUCCGAUCACCCCUUCAUUACACCUUACACCAAUUACGUAAACACAUCUACUAUGUGUACUACAUAAUGCCAUAGUAAGAUAAUGGAUCAACAUUUACAAAUUUGCAGAUUUUCGUUUUUGGAACCUAUAUUCCAUUAUUUUCUGAAAAAA